GUGAAUCAUCAAAUCUUUGAACACAAAUUGCACUCUCUGGUAUUCCGGGGAGUGUGCCUGUUUGAGGGUCGUUAGAAUAAAAAAUCGAUGCGUCGCUCUUUUUUUUAAGGGUGAUUGCGUCGGAAUUGAGCCGUCUUUCAAAUGUCAAUUCAUGAUAAAGUGGCGUGUAAUUCAUCCUUCCGA
RNAcentral lists this unclassified non-coding RNA (183 nucleotides) under Glomeraceae sp. RNAcentral describes it as "partial contains 5.8S ribosomal RNA and internal transcribed spacer 2". The stretch from base 1 to 71 matches the Rfam family "5.8S ribosomal RNA", at positions 84 to 154 of the family's 154-position model. The record is from RNAcentral. Lineage: Eukaryota; Fungi; Glomeromycota; Glomeromycetes; Glomerales; Glomeraceae.